AACGAACGCUGGCGGCGUGGAUAAGACAUGCAAGUCGAACGCUAAUCCCUGAGUAGCAAUAUUCCGGGGUUGGAGUGGCGUAAGGGUGCGUAACACGUGGGUAAUUUGCCGUGAAGAUCGGGACAACUUGCUGAAAGGCGAGCUAAUACCGAAUGUGGCCGUUGGGGAGCAUUCUCCGAUGGCUAAAGUUGGGGACCGCAAGGCCUGACGCUUCAUGAUAAGCCCGCGGCCUAUCAGCUAGUUGGUGGGGUAAAAGCCCACCAAGGCUAAGACGGGUAGCUGGUCUGAGAGGACGACCAGCCACACUGGAACUGAGACACGGUCCAGACACCUACGGGAGGCUG
This 344-nucleotide ribosomal RNA is filed under the name uncultured Verrucomicrobiota bacterium. RNAcentral's name for it is "bacterial SSU rRNA". It matches the Rfam family "Bacterial small subunit ribosomal RNA", at positions 29 to 351 of the family's 1533-position model. The record is from RNAcentral. Lineage: Bacteria; Pseudomonadati; Verrucomicrobiota.